UACGAGGGGUGCAAGCGUUGCUCGGAAUUAUUGGGCGUAAAGGGUAGGUAGGUGGUCUCAUUUGUCUGGGGUGAAAGCCUUGAGCUUAACUCAAGAAGUGCCCCGGAAACGGUGAGACUCGAGUCUUGGAGAGGGUCGUGGAAUUCCCGGUGUAGCGGUGAAAUGCGUAGAGAUCGGGAGGAACACCAGUGGCGAAGGCGACUACCUGGACCAGCACUGACACUGAGGCACGAAAGCGUGGGGAGCAAACAGG
This 253-nucleotide ribosomal RNA is filed under the name uncultured bacterium. RNAcentral describes it as "partial 16S ribosomal RNA". It matches the Rfam family "Bacterial small subunit ribosomal RNA", at positions 524 to 776 of the family's 1533-position model. The record is from RNAcentral.